AAUAAGUGCAGUUUUGCAUUGUUUAUGUCCAACGUUUGACCGUCCGUUUUAUUUGGAAUUUUUUAUGAUUAUUAUUUUGUUGUUAUUAGAUGAUAAAACAGUAAUAGUACUUUAUGUGUGACUAUUUUUUUAAAUUUUUUUAUAAAUUUUUCAAAUAAGACGGAUGGUCAAAUGUUGGACAUGGAUAUCCAUGGCUGCGCUUAUU
Oryza punctata is the source of this 205-nucleotide non-coding RNA. Lineage: Eukaryota; Viridiplantae; Streptophyta; Magnoliopsida; Poales; Poaceae. The record is from Rfam.